This 71-nucleotide transfer RNA is filed under the name marine eukaryotic metagenome. It matches the Rfam family "tRNA". Rfam says of the family: Transfer RNA (tRNA) molecules are approximately 80 nucleotides in length. Their secondary structure includes four short double-helical elements and three loops (D, anti-codon, and T loops). The record is from RNAcentral.
GGGUCGUAGUUCAGUUGGUCAGAACGCCGGCCUGUCACGCCGGAGGUCGCGAGUUCGAGUCUCGUCGGCCC